GAUGAAGAACGUAGCGAAAUGCGAUACUUGGUGUGAAUUGCAGAAUCCCGUGAACCAUCGAGUCUUUGAACGCAAGUUGCGCCUCAAGCCAUUAGGUUGAGGGCACGUCUGCCUGGGCGUCACAUAUCGUUGCCUGAUGCCAGUUUCCUCGUGAUGGGUGACUGUGCAGGGCGAAUGAUGGCUUCCCGUGAGCAUUGUUGCCUCAUGGUUGGUUGAAAAUUGAGUCCUUGGUAGGGAGCGCCGUGAUAGAUGGUGGUUGAGUGACGAACGAGACCCAAUCAUGUGAGACCCCUACCGAAUUUGGCCUUCAUGACCCACAUGCGUCUUUUGACGCUCAUGAUGAGACCUCAGGUCAGGCGGGGCUACCCGCUGAAUUUAAGCAUAUCAAUAAGCGGAGGA
Molecule: unclassified non-coding RNA, 399 nt
Filed under: soil metagenome
Description: partial contains 5.8S ribosomal RNA, internal transcribed spacer 2, and large subunit ribosomal RNA
Rfam family: 5.8S ribosomal RNA (bases 1-122)
Source: RNAcentral